GACGAACGCUGGCGGCGUGCCUAAUACAUGCAAGUUGAGCGCUGAAGGUUGGUACUUGUACCAACUGGAUGAGCAGCGAACGGGUGAGUAACGCGUGGGGAAUCUGCCUUUGAGCGGGGGACAACAUUUGGAAACGAAUGCUAAUACCGCAUAAAAACUUUAAACACAAGUUUUAAGUUUGAAAGAUGCAAUUGCAUCACUCAAAGAUGUUCCCGCGUUGUAUUAGCUAGUUGGUGAGGUAAAGGCUCACCAAGGCGAUGAUACAUAGCCGACCUGAGAGGGUGAUCGGCCACAUUGGGACUGAGACACGGCCCAAACUCCUACGGGAGGCAGCAGUAGGGAAUCUUCGGCAAUGGACGAAAGUCUGACCGAGCAACGCCGCGUGAGUGAAGAAGGUUUUCGGAUCGUAAAACUCUGUUGGUAGAGAAGAACGUUGGUGAGAGUGGAAAGCUCAUCAAGUGACGGUAACUACCCAGAAAGGGACGGCUAACUACGUG
RNAcentral lists this ribosomal RNA (497 nucleotides) under uncultured bacterium. Its description in RNAcentral is "partial 16S ribosomal RNA". It matches the Rfam family "Bacterial small subunit ribosomal RNA", at positions 28 to 507 of the family's 1533-position model. The record is from RNAcentral.